RNAcentral lists this unclassified non-coding RNA (240 nucleotides) under soil metagenome. RNAcentral's name for it is "partial contains 5.8S ribosomal RNA, internal transcribed spacer 2, and large subunit ribosomal RNA". The record is from RNAcentral.
AACACUGUUAACCUGCGGUACCUGCGGAGGGAUCAUUAUAGUAUAUGGAAUCUCCAUUCUAUAAACCCACUCUGCGUAUCUUGUAACUGUUGCUUCCAUGGGACUUGGUUCCGCCACACCGGCUUCACGGCUGGUGAGCGCCCAUGGAAGGAGAAACAAAACUCUUCUUUGAAAUGUAGUCAGUCUGAACAAGUUUUUAUAAACGUUAAAACUUUUAACAAUGGAUCUCAGAUCGGAAGA